RNAcentral lists this transfer RNA (73 nucleotides) under Cordylochernes scorpioides. RNAcentral's name for it is "tRNA-Thr". The record is from RNAcentral. Lineage: Eukaryota; Metazoa; Arthropoda; Arachnida; Pseudoscorpiones; Chernetidae.
AGGUGCCCAGGGAUGGGAAUCGAACCCACUGUGUUCCGCUUACCGGGCAGAUGCCAUGUCCACUAGGCUAUUU